GACGAACGCUGGCGGCGUGCCUAACACAUGCAAGUCGAACGAGUCCACCUUCGGGUGAGGCGAGUGGCGGACGGGUGAGUAACACGUGAGCAAUCUAUCCUGUUGCGGGGGACAACGAGGGGAAACUCUCACUAAUACCGCAUGGUCAAGAGAGUCGAUGACUCUUUUGGGAAACGUGGCCUCUUAACAAUGCUACGGCGGCAGGAGGAGCUCGCGGGCUAUCAGCUAGUUGGUGAGGUAACGGCUCACCAAGGCGACGACGGCUACGGGGUCUGUGAGGACGACCCCGCACAUUGGAACUGAAACACGGUCCAGACUCCUACGGGAGGCAGCAGUAGGGAAUAUUGGGCAAUGGCCGAAAGGCUGACCCAGCGACGCCGCGUGUGGGAGGAAGCCCUUCGGGGUGUAAACCACUGUCAGGAGGGACGAAAGAGUCGGGGGUGGAAUAAUCCUCGGCAGUGACGGUACCUUCAAAGGAAGCACCGGCUAACUCUGUGCCAGCAGCCGCGGUAAUAC
Molecule: ribosomal RNA, 516 nt
Filed under: uncultured bacterium
Lineage: Bacteria
Description: bacterial SSU rRNA
Rfam family: Bacterial small subunit ribosomal RNA
Source: RNAcentral